GCUCCAUUAGCUCAGGGGUGAGAGCGCCCGUCUUAUAUGCGGGUGGUCGGUGGUUCGAUUCCAUCAUGGAGUA
This 73-nucleotide transfer RNA is filed under the name Paenibacillus xylanexedens. Its description in RNAcentral is "tRNA-Ile". It matches the Rfam family "tRNA". Rfam says of the family: Transfer RNA (tRNA) molecules are approximately 80 nucleotides in length. Lineage: Bacteria; Bacillati; Bacillota; Bacilli; Caryophanales; Paenibacillaceae. The record is from RNAcentral.